CUGCAAUGAUGAGCGUUCACUUCAUGGUCCGUGUUUUUGAAACCAUGUGAUAGUUGAUGAAGUUCUGAGUUU
Small nucleolar RNA from Thalassophryne amazonica, 72 nucleotides. RefSeq annotates it as small nucleolar RNA SNORD18. The record is from RefSeq and is a predicted model, not a curated record. Lineage: Eukaryota; Metazoa; Chordata; Actinopteri; Batrachoidiformes; Batrachoididae. The transcript has a single exon.